UGGCGGACGGGUGAGUAACGCGUGGAAAACCUGCCGUAUACUGGGGGAUAACACUUAGAAAUAGGUGCUAAUACCGCAUAAGCGCACAGCUUCGCAUGAAGCGGUGUGAAAAACUCUGGUGGUAUACGAUGGUUCCGCGUCUGAUUAGCUAGUUGGUGGGGUAAUGGCCUACCAAGGCAACGAUCAGUAGCCGGCCUGAGAGGGUGACCGGCCACAUUGGGACUGAGACACGGCCCAAACUCCUACGGAAGGCAGCAG
This 258-nucleotide ribosomal RNA is filed under the name uncultured bacterium. Its description in RNAcentral is "partial 16S ribosomal RNA". It matches the Rfam family "Bacterial small subunit ribosomal RNA", at positions 96 to 354 of the family's 1533-position model. The record is from RNAcentral.